UAUCUCUCCGUACGGGGAAGGAUGAGAAGCUUCGACUAAGGUUCGAUUCGAGCGCAGCGAGAAAGCGUUGCCGCAAGCAACGACCCGAAGGGUGAGGAGCGGAGCGACGAAUAAUCCUUCCCCCACCACCA
Molecule: small RNA, 131 nt
Filed under: Salmonella enterica
Lineage: Bacteria; Pseudomonadati; Pseudomonadota; Gammaproteobacteria; Enterobacterales; Enterobacteriaceae
Description: RtT sRNA
Rfam family: RtT RNA
About the family: This family represents a bacterial cis-regulatory element known as RtT RNA.
Source: RNAcentral